This is a long non-coding RNA of Rhipicephalus microplus (southern cattle tick), 175 nucleotides long. The record is from RefSeq and is a predicted model, not a curated record. NCBI's taxonomy places the organism in Eukaryota, Metazoa, Arthropoda, Arachnida, Ixodida, Ixodidae.
AGGCCCGUAUCCGUAUCCAUAUGUGAGAUCUGACAUUGAAAAGCGGGCUUCAUCCGAACAUGGAAUUCAGUUGAAAAGUGAACCAAACGGGUGCCCGGACUUUGCUGCCUGCAACUAGAGGUGCAAAAGCUUUGGCUCGUAUGGAAAAUGCGGAGAAGUGGAGCAAAUGACCUGC